This 477-nucleotide ribosomal RNA is filed under the name uncultured bacterium. RNAcentral's name for it is "partial 16S ribosomal RNA". It matches the Rfam family "Bacterial small subunit ribosomal RNA", at positions 28 to 507 of the family's 1533-position model. The record is from RNAcentral.
GAUGAACGCUGGCGGCGUGCUUAAUACAUGCAAGUCGAACGAAAAGACCCGGCGUUUGCUGCUUACACGAUUGCCGAACGGGUGUGUAACACAUGUGUAUCAUCCCCCUAACAUAGUGAUAUAACUUCGAAAAACGGGCGCAUAUACGAUAUGAUAUCUUGAUCCGCAUGGUUCGAUAGUGAAUUACGGUUUUGCUGUCACUUAUAGCUGGAUCCGCGCCUUAUUGGUUAGUUGGUACGGUAACGGCUUACCAAGGCAAAGAUGGGUAGGCGGCCUGAGAGGGUGGACGGCGACAUGGGGACUGAGGGACGGACCAGAAGCCAACGGGAGGCAGCAGUCGGGAGUAUUGCGCAAUGGGCGGGAGUGUGAUGCGGCGACGCCGCGUGCGGGAAGACGGCCUACGAGUGGUAAACUACUUUGUCAAUAGACGUAGACGUCUUGACGGUACCUGGUCAAGAAGCACCGGCUAACUACGUG